UCCCUUGUAGUUUAGUGGGUAAAGAGUCUGCCUGCAGUGUAGGAGACCCGGGUUCGAUCCCUGGGUUGGGAA
Molecule: transfer RNA, 72 nt
Filed under: Bos taurus (domestic cattle)
Lineage: Eukaryota; Metazoa; Chordata; Mammalia; Artiodactyla; Bovidae
Also listed under: 4 other names
Rfam family: tRNA
About the family: Transfer RNA (tRNA) molecules are approximately 80 nucleotides in length.
Source: Rfam by way of RNAcentral